UAAUGGAAACCACAAUACCGAUGGCAGUGAAGGGAACAAGUGCAAUAACCACAAUACCGACAAAUGAAGCUAACGUUGGGUUGUUGCACUCGUUCCCUUCACUGCCAUCGGUAUUGUGGCGUUUGUUA
Molecule: microRNA precursor, 128 nt
Filed under: Lotus japonicus
Lineage: Eukaryota; Viridiplantae; Streptophyta; Magnoliopsida; Fabales; Fabaceae
Description: miR11076 stem-loop (lja-MIR11076)
Source: miRBase by way of RNAcentral